AAUCUUCCAGCAUGGACGAUAGUCUGAUGGAGCAACGCCGCGUGAGUUAAGAAGAUUUUCGGAUCGUAAAACUCUGUCAUUGUGGAAGCAUAAAUGCCGGUCCCCAAUGAGGAAGCCCCGGCUCACUACGUCCCAGCAGCCUCGGUAAUACGUAGGGGGCGAGCGUUGUCCGGAAUUACUGGGCGUAAAGGGUACGUAGGCGGCUAUAUAAGUCAGGUGUGAAAUACCAGUGCUUAACACUGGAAUUGCAUUUGAAACUGUGUAGCUUGAGUGCAGGAGAGGAAAGUGGAAUUACUAGUGUAGCGGUGAAAUGCGUAGAGAUUAGGAGGAACACCAGUGGCGAAGGCGACUUUCUGGACUGUAACUGACGCUGAGGUACGAAAGCGUGGGUAGCGAACA
Molecule: ribosomal RNA, 399 nt
Filed under: uncultured bacterium
Lineage: Bacteria
Description: partial 16S ribosomal RNA
Rfam family: Bacterial small subunit ribosomal RNA
Source: RNAcentral